Oxyura jamaicensis (ruddy duck) is the source of this 1588-nucleotide long non-coding RNA. RefSeq lists it as uncharacterized. The record is from RefSeq and is a predicted model, not a curated record. NCBI's taxonomy places the organism in Eukaryota, Metazoa, Chordata, Aves, Anseriformes, Anatidae. The transcript has 3 exons.
UUGUGUACUAUCUAUGCGUGUUUUAUGCAUCAGCAGAGCACUCCAUUACUGGUAGGCUGCACACACAAUUAGGGCUUUAUGAUCUUUGAAGUCGGUUAAUACAAAGAUUUAUGUAUUUGCAGCAAUAAAAAGCCUGUGAAGUCAUGGGGAGAGAUGUUUUGUAGACCUACAGUCCGAUUCUCCUUUGAGUGGUGUUGGUUUAGCUCCACUGUCUUCAGUGGCAUCCAUCCUCACACCAUCUGAGCACCAGAAGAGCAGAAGAAGGAAACCCAUCCCUCGGUGCAUGCCCGGGGAGGUCUGCUCCUAGAGAGCUCUCUUUUAUUUCAGACCACCAGGGAAAGCACCGAGAGAGAGAGCAGGCUCCACGGCAGAAAUCAAACCUUGCAGCACGCUUCUUCCACCGAGCAGCUCACGGCAGCAUCCUCGGGCUGGCACUGCAGAGGGGCCGCUUCACCGGGGGGCUCCUGCCUGCCUGCCCGCGAUGCUCCCCAGGUCAAGGCAAAUCCACGGCCACGUGGAUGAAAGUGAAGGAAACGCUUUCAGUAACGAGCCGGGUUAAUGGAUAGUGAAGAUGGCGGUGGUAGGGAGAGAACGGGCCUUUGGAAGUCAAAGUAAUUCAUCUCAGAGACAAUUCUUUUUCCUGUGUACUGUGAAUUUCUGCGUGAGACUCCCUGAAACAUUCACUGUCGGAAAUGAUCGCAGCUUUUCUCUUGUUGGUUUCUCCAGGAAAGGUCAAGGCAAGCUGCCAGUAGGACGACUGGACAACGUCACUGCUUUAAAGACCUGUGAGUUCUCACUGACACUGAAACAGUAAUGGGCGAUGGAGCAUUAGGAGAAACUACGCUGCAAAAGCAGGAUGAAAUUUCCAGAGCGGAUUGAAUAGGGAAGAGGGUUAGGAAGCUUUAGUAAGGCAGAGGGAACAAAACCUGAUUUCUCCUAACCACUCUCCCAGCUCCAGGAUCUGGACUAAAUGACUCCUAUUUAUGUCUGACAUCAUACCUCCACCCUAAAGCUGUAGAAAUAAAUGCCUACAAACACAGCUUGUGUUACUGAGGAAGUGGCAAGAAUCUGGGUUUCUUUAUCUGUGUUGCAGGGUCCUGCCCCCCAACCUUCUCCUUAAUAAACAGUCUAGGAUGUCCAAUUCCUUGUGCCCCAGUCAUUAAAACACUGCCAUUUAAACUACAGAGCCAGUUCCUGACAUACUGGAAAAGAGCAGAUUUAGGAUUCUUGGUGUAAUCUUUUUUGUCCCUCCCCACGCGCAUAUGUUUUCUUACAAACUCUUCCAUGACACAGUCAUACUGCAAACUUUCCCACAGGAUGCAUGUCUCAUGCUGUACAACACAGGAUAAAUCACACCCAGUGGCAGAAAUAAAUUAGCAUAGCAAUCUUAAUCUGGUAUUUCCUAAUUUUCCUAAUUUCCUUAUCCUUCAAUGCUCAGCCGUGCUAAUCUAAACAAUAUUAUUUGAUGCAAUUUUUGUAGGUUAUCAUUUAGAUAUAUGUAUACGUGUUUGUGUAUCUCUCCAUCUAUCUGUAUCUCUUAAUGUAUUGGUAAACACAAAAGGAAAAGAUAAAAGUUGUUUGUUUUUAA